GUGUAAAUAUGCGUAUACGUCAAACUGGUUACUUAAAUAUCUCUAAGUCUAAAAAGUUGUUUCAAUUAUUCCACGAGCCAAAGUCAAAAAAGAAGAAGCAGGUUUAGCUGCUACAUUAAGAACAUAAAACAUGUAUUCUUUUAUUUCCCAAGAGGACCGAGCGAAGGCUAUGCCAAAAGUAAGCUUUCCGAAAACGUAGUCUUCUCACGAUCAAGACCAAUUCUAUGAGAGACGAUCAUCUCUUGUUUUAGAUUAAUCCGCCCCUUUAUCUGUCUUUUUCUUACAAUUAGCUCUGUGUCACGGAUAGAGACUAACAAUAAGAUCAAUGAGGGUAUUCUUUCAAGAUAGGAGAAAAGAAAGAAAGAAAAGGAGAAGCUAUGUUCUCUCUCUUUCUCUCUCUCUCUCUCUCUUUCCAUCUCUUACUAACUAACUCUCCCACUUCUUCCAAAGAAGCCAGGUAAGCUCUUGCGAAACGAGACACAGACAAAUAGCAGGAACGAAAGAGAGAAACAGAGAGAGAGAGAAAGAGAGAGGGAGGGAGAGAGAGAGAGAGAGAGAGAAAGAGAGUAUCUUCGAAGAUUAAACUUUCGAUAUCUACUCGACGUUUUCAGUCGACUCGCAAACGUCGUUCCGAACGUGCACCUGUUUCGAUUAUCUCGUUUACAUUAUUUUACUUCUCUCGCGUGAUACUUCGAAAAUCUGAUUUGUCGUGACGGCGAUUGUAAAGGAAGUAAGUAAGCAAGCAGUACGUAGAGGAAGGAAAAAGAGAAAGUGACGUUUACAUUCGUUGAACGAAUCGAUGAAUAAUACAAGAAAAUAAAAAGAGAAAAAAGAAGAAGAACAAAAAGAAAAUAGAAAGAAGAAGAAGAAGAGAAAAAAGAAACGAAAGAGCGUAGAAUUGACGGAAAGAUCGGAGUUUCUACUACCAGUCGGAGGAAGGAUAUUCGAAAAUGGAUAUCAGGAUAACGUUGUUGUGUUUGUUUCUGUUUUGUGUUGUACCGAGAUCGACCGUCGGUAAAAGUCGUUUUACCAAUCCAGAUCUUUUCUACUUUCCCGACCAAGCGGAUUAUCUAAAACGAGCUAACAAAUGUCCGGAUAACAUGAUUUUGUGGCUAGGAAAUGGUCGUUGUUACAAAGAAGGUGAAAGAGGACCCUGCAAUGUCGGCCGUGUUUUAGUAAUCGACGAAAGAUUAUUUAAACCCUACUGCAAGGAUAUUCUACAAUGAUUUGUCUAUUGCUGCAAAAGAUGGCAGCACUCAAGAAAACCUAACGUUCGAUGGCAUGUUGGAAAAUUGUUUUCAUUGAACUGACUCCAAGAUGACAGCACUAUUUCUGUGAAAAACGUUUUCCCGCGGGAAACUUCGAAUAACGAGCUUCUCUGCGAAUUCGCAGAGUGGCAGCUGUAAGACAAAUUUUCUUUAUACUUCGAGAACUUGCGAUGUGCCAUUAUGUCUUUUAUUCAUCUCUUAAAAUGAAUACGCGAUAAAUUGUUCGUUAAACGCAUACGUUAAAGAAAAUUUGUGUUACUUUUUUUCUUUUCUUUAUUAAAAGUUUUAUUAUAAUUACUAAUGGACCGUCGAGAGGUUUAAUCGUUACUCUCCCGAUUUGAUCGAUUAAAAGCUUAUAGUUAUAUAGAAAAGAAAUAAUACUAUAGAAUAUCGUUAGCUCGCAUAACGAGUUAGAUGGAUAGUAAAGUUUCAGUAUCGUCUCAUUAUGAAAACUUAUGCAUCUGUAUCGCUUUUUGUAUCGUAAUAUACGACAUUUUAAUUACAGAAGUUGCAAAGCAGCUAUAAACGAAGCCGAGCGUUUGUGCCAAGUUCUGUGAAUUAAACCGUACUAAUUUCAUGUAAUUUCAUUCCAGCACGUCACGUCGCGAAAUAAAAUGUCACUUUGUCUUUCUCUUUCGUAAAAAUGUACGCGUGCUCGGCCACGUUUUCGUAUUAUUUCACGCACGUGGCUGUAUUUAAUCGUUUUUAUUUGUGAACGAAACUGAAGAAAAAAGAAUAAACUGAGAUCAAAGUGUUCAUUUUAUUUCACAACGUACAUAUGUAUUAAGAAAAAAAUAUAUCACGUUAUAUAUAUUAAAAAAGGAAUAUCAAAGGAUACGUAUAAAGCAUACAUACAUACAUACAUACAUACAUAUAUAUAUAUAUAUAUAUAUAUAUAUAUAUAUAUAUUAAAAAAAUUGAUAAGAAUAUACGAAGAUAUUUAAAAAAAAUUAAUAAGAAUACGAAGAAGAGAUAUAUAAGCAAUAAUGAUGGACGUCUCUCCGAUCUUAGUUGCGAUCGUAAUUUGCAGAUUGUAAAAAUGUAAUCAAGAAGACGAAAGGUAGCACGUUUAAUUACUACGCUCCGAUAUGGCGUUGGGAAGAAGAAGGGUGAGUCAGAUGAGAAGGAGUGGACGGGGGUGCUCGUUCGUUCUUUCGUUCGUUCGUUCGUUCGUUCGUUCGUAACAAGCCACCCCAUCGGAAAAAAAAGAAAAAAAAAAAAGAUUGAAACAGCUGUCGCUUCCUCGUGAUCUCAUUAUGCUUUAUCGAAGGGUGUUCACCUCUUAGGCGAUGUAAUAUUUCAGAGGUCAAUGUGACAUCGAUUCGCAAUUUGGCAUGGUUCUUGACAACACGAAAAUAAGAGAGUGCUAGAGAGAAAUGAUCUCAAAAGUUACGAAAGCCGACCACGGCAUUCUCGUUCACGAUAUUUCAACACUCUUCUAUCCCUUUCAUCGUGCGUGGCACGAGUUACGUGCUGCGAGUAACAAGCGAGUUCCAAAAUGUUUUCGAUUAACCCCAUUUUAAGAAGAAUCGACAUUUCCUCGUCUUUUCUUUGCCAAUACGAUUCUUAUCUUCACGACCAUUCUCAUUUCAAAAUACGUGUUUCUCUUGAUCGACCAUAUUAUUACGAAAUAUUCGAAACAUCUGUUUUAACGAGUUCAGUUUAUUUUCGUUGAUAAAUAACUAGAUUUUUAAAAGUUUUAUUAAAGAUUUUUAAAACGUUGAAUUUAUUUGUAUUAUUUCAUAAUAUCUGUAUCGUAUAACUUUCUCAAAUCGAUUAAUUGAAACGUAUAUAUUUAUUAGUCACAAGUUUGGCAUGGAGAUACGUAUGUGGUUUAUGAAGCAAAGAAUUUUGAUCAUUAUAAUUGCAAAUAUAGAUCGAUAAUUCUUUAUUAUAUAUUAAUUGUUUACAUUGCAUCAUUUUUGUAAUAUAUAAGAUAGUUAUAGGAUGAUUAAUAUCUUCAAAUUUUAUACAGAAAAUUAUUUUUAAUGUUCCUAAUUCUAAUUCUUAAUUCUAAAAAUUCAAUCAGUUUAUUUGCUUUACUUGUAACAAUAGAAAAGAAAAAGAAAAGAAGCAAAAUUAGAAAACUCGUAAAUAGAUAGUGAACAAAUAGAGAUUCUAUGCAAUUGUGAUUUAUUAUUAAUAUAUGAAAUUAUUAAUUUUAAUUUUAAUUUAUAAUUAAUUUAAAUUUUAUUUGCAAUGCAAUCGAUUAUAUAAUUAAUUUAUAUCAUCAUAGAUCGUAUAUAUUCUUUUUCUUCUUUUUCUUUUUUAUCACAGUAGAUCGCGAUACAUGAACGAUUUAAAAUCUUUCAAAUAUUAAAUAAUGAAAUAGACGGAUAAAUAAUUAAACGUUUAAAUAUUAUUAAUGUUUGAUUAAAACAUGUUUAAUUAAAUAUAUAAUUAAACAAAUAAUUAAACAUUUAAAUAUUAUACGUGUAUCUCAACAUAUCAAUCGUUUUCUUGGUAAAUCGUAGAAUGAAAGGGAACGGGGCUCUCGUAAAUCCAUCGUGUAUCGUUCGAAGCGUGAAAUCGAGGUAAAUCUUCGAAGGCAGAAGUCGCGACUAUUAAAUGGCACGAGGAAAGGCAGGCGUUCGCGACAAGAUCGUUUGUCACGUUGCUCGUCGACCCGACUCCUUUCAGCUUUUUACACCUCGACGAUGGCGACGAGCUCGAAUACAAGCGUCGACCAGAACGAAGAUGACAAGAGCUACGAUGCAUUUUCUCCUUGAGGAUUUGUUUUAACGGUAAAAAUUUAGAAACUGAUCUUCGCCGAGAACCGUUUUCCUUUUUAUUUGAUAUCUUCGAUUUUGCGAGAGAUAUAUUAAGAUAUAUUAAGCACGAGAAUUCAUCUUUUUUAUCUUUAUCUUUACACAUUCACAAUCAAAGAAUUUAAUUUUAUUCACAGUUUUGAAUGGACAAUUUAUUUUAUGAGAGUAAAAGAGAGAAAGAGAGAGAGAGAGAGAGAGAGAGAGAGAGAGAGAGAUAGCAAGUCGUUAAGUAUUAUUUAAAUUAAUAUAUUUCGUUCUUCUUUUAAAUUUAUUUUAUAUUCUUUUUUAAAAAUAAUUUACUGCGACCUAUCCUUUUUACUUGAAAUUUUACAAAUCGUUUAUAAUUCACUCACUUUUGUUUAUAUACGAAUUUGUUGUUUUAAGCCAAAAACAGUUUCCCUUUAGUUUAUCUCUCUUUGUUAGAAUCCGAAUUUGUUUAUUUAUUUCCGUCAUGAUAUCAGCCUCGUUCGUCAGUAUAUUUUAACUGUAUUUUAUUUAUUUCGUUUUAAACAAACUAAAGAUUCGUUUAAUCUUCUCACUAAGCUUCCAACACUAGUCAGUCCAUAAAUAUGAACAAUUCAUAAUAUUUUUUGUCAAAUAUUUACAAAUGGUAGUAGUGAUAUGAUAAACAAGUAAAAGGAUAUAUAAAAUAUUAUCGAUUAUUUUUGUUUAUUGUUUGAACCAAAACGAUCGAGCAGUGUUCCUUCAAUAUUUAUCUUUUCAACAGACAAAAAUCAAUCGGGGGUUAAAAAGCAAGUAAAUCCUUUUCCAAACAAUAUUAUUUAAUAUCUAUCUCGCACUUUCGUUUUAUUUACCAAUAACAUUAUUAUCAUAAAAAUCGAUAUUGUAAGGAUAGAGAAAAUCCGUCAGGAGACAUGAAAUAUCCAUUCACCCGUUUAAGCAAUCUUUCUCUCUCACCUCUUUUCCUCCUUCAUUGAUAUCGUCUUUCAAUUUCGUAUCUUGUGUCAUUCGUUCCUGAGCUAGGGGAAAUGAUAGCUGCAGAGAUUUCAAAGAUCUCUGGUACCGGACAUCCUCCUCCUUCACAACUUUUCGUACCUACCUCUUUGUUAAGUAGAUUUCAAUAUCCGACCAGGCAACAGUCUUUUCGUAUGUGACGUGUCAUACUAAGUCAAGAGGGAGAAAGAAAGAGCUAGAGAGAGAUAGAGAUAGAGCGAGAGAGAAAGAGAUAGAUAGAUAGAUAGAUAGAUAGAUAGAUAGAGAGAGAGAGAGAGAAAAAGAGAGAAAGAAAGAGAAAGAGAAAGAAAUCAGUCGACGGAGGAUGAGGAGCGUACUAGGAAGAAGUGAAGGUGUGGUGGAAAGAGGUAAAAAGGGCGACAGGAGGUGCAAUAUUCUUGGCUCGCAUUGUACGUGUCCCAUCGGUUGGCAGGCGAGCUCCCUCUCAGCGACAGCUUGACAGAACAUACGCUCCUUCCCCGCACGAAACCUCCCCUUUUCUCUCACCCUUAUUCUUUCUCACUUUCUACUUCCACACCUUUAUCCCUUUCUUUCUUUUUUCUUUCUUUUUUUAGAAUCCCCCUUUCUUCUUCUUCUUCCUCGUCUUCGUCUUAUUCUUACUUGAAACCUCAGUCCGUUUCAGUCUUCUUCUUCUUCUUCUUCUUCUUCUAGUUUCCCUCGUCUAUUUUCUCAGUCGUAGAAAAUAAAAGUUUAUAAGACGUCCGUGGUUGAGCGUUGUGCUACGCACGCCAUCGUGAUAUCGGAACUAUGGUUAUAGAAGGGAAAAAACCAAGAGGGAGGGUAAAGAGGGAGAUGAAAUGGAAACGAGAAAAGUGGGGACCACGUGCAGAAAUAACGUUCGUGUUUUUGAUUUGAAGCACGUAACCGAACCACAUUGAAAUCAGAUAGGGGCGCGAGAGAGGACGCUAAACUGGCUCCGAGGCUUGGAAAGCUUGCUACGAGAAUACCUAAAGCUGUGGGUGGAAGGAGCUUGAAAAGGAUGAGGAAGAGGAGGACGAGGAGGAGGAAGAGGAGCUUGCCGUAGGUGUGGAAGCAAGCGUUGCAUGCUACGAAGGAAAAUAAGAGAAGAUAGGUUUGGAAGUGAAGAGAGAGAGAGAGAGAGAGAGUAUAAAAAAAGGGUAGAAGUGGACGUUGCGUCCACCGUAACUCGAAGAGAUCAUCGAGGUGAAGGGAAAGGGAAGAAAAAGGAUCGAACAGCCGCCUUACGACGGCUGAAACCUGCCACUUUCUAGGAUUUUCGAAUAAAUCGGCGUUACUAGCAGCAUCCCGCUCUUCUUACGCUAUAACGGAGUCUACUUUGACCCAGACUUUUCUAACCCAUGUCUCUUUCUCUUUCUCUUCUUCUCAGUUUUCCUCUCUCUUUCUCUUUUCUCAACCUUAUCCAGAGUUUUCGUUCCGUAAUCCGGAUGGGACUGUUAGCUCCUUGAAAAACCAAUCGAAAUUCGUCGCUUCGUCCAAACAAUGCUCGAACUACGGAUUUUCUUGAAAGAAUCGAAACGAAAGAAAAGGUUUUAAAGAGAAAACUUGCUCCUGAACUUUUUCUUUCUCUUUCUUGAAUUUUGUUUUUCUUUUUUUUUCUCUCUUUAAUCUUUUUUUCUUUCUUCCUUUUUUUCUCUUUUGUUUUGUUUUCUUUUUUUUUCUUUUUUUUUUUUUUUUCAUUUUCUUGCAAUAAUUCCUUAAACAAGCGCGCAGAACAAAGUCGAGACAUAAACGAAUGCUAACGGGAUAGCGUUACACGCUCGUAUUCUCUUGACAAAAGCCGUAUUCUCUCCGCAAGAAUUUUUCCCCCGUUCUCUUCAUAUUCAUUUCACGUGUCUUUUUUCUUGCUUCUUUCUUCUUUUUUCUUUUUUCUUUUUUCUUCUUCUUUCUCUUCCUACCUUCGUCUCUCCCAUCCGUCGAGAUUACACGGACUUAAAGUCAACAGUCGAAGAAAUGACUUCGUAUAUAGUCUUCUUUAUACUCUACCUUGCUAGAGGUGUAUCUAGGAUUUUAUAUAUAUAUAUGUAUGUAUAUAUAUAUAUAUAAUAUGUAUAUUCGUGUGUAGGAUAAAUCGCUGAAAAUAUCGACUCGUUGAAAUUGAAAUGCGCUUUCCCUUCGCGGGAUAUCAAUUUAAAAAGAACGAAGAAGAAAAAAAGUAGAAGAAAUAGAAAAAGCUGACGAUAUAUCGUAGUUUUAGUUUUCUCUGAUGCUCUUUAAAGCGAUUAUCUUUUAUCGCAAUAUUCGUCAAUAGGUUUUUAACAAAACGCGAGAAAAUCGAUCCACACGUAGUUUCCUUGUAACCUAUGUAUAUUCCUCAUGAGAAUGGACAUGAUCGAACGUUCUAACUGUCUCUGGCAUUGAUAUCUUUGCCUCUUAAUAAUGCACAGCCAGUCAGCAUGCCAACAUUGACGUAUAACGCUUGAAAAUGUAUUAUGUAGUUAUCAUACAUGAAUAGUUAGAUAAUAUAUCAAUUUCACAUUGAUAUUGGUUGGAACAUUGAAUAGGCAUAAAACACGAGAUUUAAAGCGAACGUUUUAACAGGGUGAAUGCUAGUGUAAAAGUUAGCAAAUGCAUCCGCCAUUCAACUAGGUAGAUAUAGGGGUACAGAUAAAGGAGGUGAGAUCGCUGUUUCGAAAGUUUCCACAGUCUUAUCUGCGAGACACAUUACUUCUUACCAAAACUCCAAGCCGCUAUACCGAAUACGGGAGUUAGAAGAGAGGUGACAAAUUAUCUUUCCAAACACGGACUCCAACGCUAAAUGUUCGGCGUUAGGAACGAUCGCAAGUGCGAUUUACGCGUAUAACGAAACUAGGAUCUUCUUCUUGACUUUUCAUCCGGUCAAUUACGUGAAGGUUUUCAACUUUGAAAGAACGAUUGACGAGAUAAAAAAAAACAGGAAGAGAAAAAAUGAGAGAGAGAGAGGGGGGAAACAUAAUUUAUUUUCAUGAAAAAAGAUAGAAAGAGUUAUAACGUAGGAAAAUUAACAUGAGAAACUACUAUACUAUGAUACAGAAAUCAUUACUAUGGUAGUGCAAAGUAUAUAAAUACAUAUAUUAUAUAUAUAUAUAUAUAUAUAUAUAUAUAUAUAUGUAUGUGUGUAUGAAAAGUGUAUAGAUACAUAUAUAGAAAUAUAUCUACAUAAAAUAGAGGAAUAUAAUUUAUUUCCAUGAAAAUAACAUAGAAAGAGUUACAACGGGGUACCAUUAAUAUGAAAUACUACUAGAUAAUACAGAAAUCAUUACUACGACAGUGCAAACAAAUAUAUACAUACUUGUACAGGCAAACGUAUCUACAUAUAUAAAUAUACAAGUAACUACCUAUAUAGAUAUAUCAGGCGUUAAAUCAAGAAAUAAAGUUUAUCGAUAAGAAUUUUCCUUUGAAUGUAUUAAACAAAAAAAUUUAAUAGAAAGACAUACAGAACGUUAUAAUCGUAAAUUUAAAUUCGUCAUCGUUUUCGAGCUGUUAUCGCUUAGUUGGUUCUUUCUCAUCGUCAACGUUAUAGUCGAGCGUAUUCGUUCUCUCCGACUUCGUUCUCAUCGGUCGUCCCAACUUCGAACGCGAGUCGCGCCAUAUUUCAAAUGUCAUAUUAGCGAGGACCAUGCGUCUUCCACGAGUAAAAUGUCUAUGCUACUAGCGGGCCAGUCUGCAGCAUUGGCGGAUCGCAUGACGCGAGUUCCUCAUGGAGUAACGCAGGAUCGUGUCACCUUCCUGCUUCGCCACCAAUUACACAUUAAUGCGAUGUCGUGCUAUCUAGGGGAUAGGGUUUGCUGAAGAGGAAGGUAGACAGAUAGACAAAGUGAGAGAGAGAGAGAGAGAGAGAGGGAGAGAGAGAGAGAGAGAGAAUGUGAGGGAUAAGUAUCCUUCGGGAGUACACCCUCUUCCGAUAUGCGUAUAUUGCUCAAUUAACCUACUUUUCGUAGUUGUAAAAGAGCCACAAAGCUUGAUGAAAUAAACCUGGGGGUUAUCUUACGAUUUUGUUCGAACAAUAAAAGUAAUUAUCUUUAUUGAGUGAGGGAGCCUAAUAAUACCUACAAAUCGUUAUCGAUUAAACACGAUCGUUUUUGUUCGUAGGGUUGAUUAUUUAGGAAAGAAAGAGAGAGAGAGAGAAAUUUUGGUUGAUCACUUUCUAAGAAUUUUGUGUUUUUAUUACUAUAUACGUAUAUAGAUGAUUGUAUAAAAGAUCUAUAUGAUAGAUAAAUUUGUAAAGUAACGAAAUCCAAUAUUCUUUAUUAUAUCUCUAUUAAUUCAUACAGGUUUUAAUAUGAUUAAAUUUCGUAGAAUUAUGAGAUUAUACUGUAAGAUUGACUUUUAAUAAUUAAUUACGUUUACGGUAGAUCAUUAUAUUGUAUAAAUAUCGUUUGAAUAAAGUAUGUGUCAUAGAUACUAUAUUGAGUUCGAUCAUUAGUAUAAACAUUAAGUAUAAACAGUAUUAAUAUAAACAUUCAAGAUCAAAUGUAUAUGAGUAAUGGACAUUUAAAAACCAACGAAGGGCGAGAGUAGUGAUUCAUUUGCGUUGUGAAGCCUGAUAGUGUCGUAUCAAAGUCGUAUAAUUUCGUAACGUUUCAUUCAAUCACGAGGAAAGUGGUAUUUUAUUAAAUUAAUACUGGCAAUUUCAUAAUUUGUACAUUGAUAUAUAGACAAUAUUAAUAAAGGAUUGAUCUUUUUAAUUUAUA
This is a long non-coding RNA of Vespula vulgaris, 9663 nucleotides long. RefSeq lists it as uncharacterized. Lineage: Eukaryota; Metazoa; Arthropoda; Insecta; Hymenoptera; Vespidae. The transcript is spliced from 2 exons. The record is from RefSeq and is a predicted model, not a curated record.